Long non-coding RNA from Helicoverpa armigera (cotton bollworm), 832 nucleotides. RefSeq lists it as uncharacterized. The record is from RefSeq and is a predicted model, not a curated record. NCBI's taxonomy places the organism in Eukaryota, Metazoa, Arthropoda, Insecta, Lepidoptera, Noctuidae. The transcript has 2 exons.
GCCAUCGCCAUUUUAUUUCAGUCUCAAUUUGCUCAAGGAAGAAACCAAACGUGCCUAGGAAGAAUCGAGUGAUUAGAAUCGAUUCAUAUCGAUUGUUAGAUUCAGUUUAAGUAAUUUAUUCGAAGUUUCUACAGAAAGAAGUAUUUUUCUGUAAGAUUUAUGAAUAGUUGUGAAUUCUUCAAUAAUUUGGACCCUGGUGGACCAAUGAUGACAAGGAAACGGUUUAAGGAGCUGUCGCUGGAAGCGACAGUCUACCAAGAGGCGACGAACCUGAUGCCUCCUCUCGACCCCCCUCAGCCCCCUCCGAUGCCAACUGAAUCAGUUUCCGCCUCCGAGCCAUCAAAUAAUUUUAUAAGAAGCCAAUGUCUAAGUGUUGUGUUUCCUGCGCGUUUGCGCACGGAAAGGCGCGGUAAACGUAACACGUAUGUAUUUGCUGGGAAAGUUGCACGUCAAAGGGCGACCAGGAAAAGACUAUCAAAGAAAGACCUCUGAAUUGACUAAGAAGUUAGUUUUUAAGUACUUAAGGUAACUAUGGGCCACACACUGCAGCCUAAACAGUCGACGGUCGAUUCGAUGAAUGGCAAUUGUUUUUUGAGAAAAUCGUGAUUCCAAUCAAAGUUUUCUGUCGGUCUGAUGCCGAAUAUAGGUAUAUUUGAUCGCUGUAAUGUGCACACUGCCAUGCAUUUCCGUAGUUAGGGUGCUUACAUAAAGCGCUCGAUCAAACUAUCGGCGGACUAGUCUGCAGUGUUGUACUGUUGAUGUAGGUAGGUAACUAGGUAGGAACUUCCUUUCUUUGGUGAAUGUAAAAUAAAAAUUUAAAAAAAUAAUAAAA